This 552-nucleotide ribosomal RNA is filed under the name uncultured bacterium. Its description in RNAcentral is "bacterial SSU rRNA". It matches the Rfam family "Bacterial small subunit ribosomal RNA", at positions 114 to 681 of the family's 1533-position model. The record is from RNAcentral.
CGCGUGAGGAACCUGCCUUUCAGUGGGGGACAACAGUUGGAAACGACUGCUAAUACCGCAUGAAGCAUUUAGGGGGCAUCCCCUGAAUGCCAAAGAUUUAUUGCUGAAAGAUGGCCUCGCGUCUGAUUAGCUAGUUGGAGGGGUAACGGCCCACCAAGGCGACGAUCAGUAGCCGGUCUGAGAGGAUGAACGGCCACAUUGGGACUGAGAUACGGCCCAGACUCCUACGGGAGGCAGCAGUGGGGAAUAUUGGGCAAUGGGGGAAACCCUGACCCAGCAACGCCGCGUGAAGGAAGAAGGCUUUCGGGUUGUAAACUUCUUUUACCAGGGACGAAGAAAGUGACGGUACCUGGAGAAAAAGCCACGGCUAACUACGUGCCAGCAGCCGCGGUAAUACGUAGGUGGCAAGCGUUGUCCGGAUUUACUGGGUGUAAAGGGCGUGUAGGCGGAGAUUCAAGUCAGGAGCGAAAACUAUGGGCUUAACCCAUAAACUGCUUUUGAAACUGAAUCCCUUGAGUAUCGGAGAGGCAGGCGGAGUUCCUAGUGUAGCGG